RNAcentral lists this unclassified non-coding RNA (437 nucleotides) under uncultured Thelephora. RNAcentral's name for it is "sequence contains ITS2". The stretch from base 1 to 155 matches the Rfam family "5.8S ribosomal RNA". The record is from RNAcentral. Lineage: Eukaryota; Fungi; Basidiomycota; Agaricomycetes; Thelephorales; Thelephoraceae.
AACCUUUAACAAUGGAUCUCUUGGCUCUCGCAUCGAUGAAGAACGCAGCGAAAUGCGAUAAGUAAUGUGAAUUGCAGAAUUCAGUGAAUCAUCGAAUCUUUGAACGCACCUUGCGCCCUUUGGCUAUUCCGAAGGGCAUGCCUGUUUGAGUAUCAUGAACACUUCAACUCUCACGGUUCGCCGCGAUGAGCUUGGACUUGGGGGUUUUGCUGGCAUGCGGUCGGCUCCUCUCAAAUGAAUCAGCUUGCCAGUCUGUGGUGGCGUCACAGGUGUGAUAAAUAUCUACGCUUGUGGGUCGUCUGCCAGGUAACUUUCAGUGAUGGAGGUUUGCUGGAGCUUAUAAACGUCUCUCCUGGGGGAAGGCAGCUUUUUGAACGUUCGAUCUCAAAUCAGGUAGGACUACCCGCUGAACUUAAGCAUAUCAAUAAGCGGAGGCU